RNAcentral lists this ribosomal RNA (253 nucleotides) under uncultured bacterium. Its description in RNAcentral is "partial 16S ribosomal RNA". It matches the Rfam family "Bacterial small subunit ribosomal RNA", at positions 524 to 776 of the family's 1533-position model. The record is from RNAcentral.
UACGGAGGGUGCAAACGUUGCUCGGAAUCAUUGGGCGUAAAGCGCACGUAGGCGGGCGGCUAUGUCGGAUGUGAAAGCCUCGGGCUUAACCCGAGAAGGGCAUCCGAAACUGGCCGGCUUGAGUACGGAAGAGGGUCUCGGAAUUCCCGGUGUAGAGGUGAAAUUCGUAGAUAUCGGGAGGAACACCAGUGGCGAAGGCGGAGACCUGGGCCGAUACUGACGCUGAGGUGCGAAAGCGUGGGGAGCAAACAGG